GACAGAGGUGCCAAGCGUUAGGCGGAAUCACUGGGCUUAAAGCGUGUGUAGGCGGAUCGUUAAGUACCUUGUGAAAUCCCACGGCUCAACCGUGGAACUGCUUGGUAUACUGGUUGUCUUGGGCCAUCUAGGGGCUAGCGGAACAAACGGUGGAGCGGUGAAAUGCGUAGAUAUCGUUUGGAACGCCAAUGGUGAAAACAGCUAGCUGGGGAUGUGCCGACGCUGAGACACGAAAGCCAGGGGAGCGAACGGG
This 253-nucleotide ribosomal RNA is filed under the name uncultured bacterium. Its description in RNAcentral is "partial 16S ribosomal RNA". It matches the Rfam family "Bacterial small subunit ribosomal RNA", at positions 524 to 776 of the family's 1533-position model. The record is from RNAcentral.